UCCAUAAUUUACGAGACCGUAUCGCGUUAUAAAUACGACAUGUUGAUCCGAGAAGCUCACACAACUCGAUCACCCUUCUAAGUCACUCUCGACACCAUCACGCAACCAUCACCUCUUUCACGUAACCCGCGAAUCGCCGGAGCCUGCCGGAAAGAUCAAAGUCCUCGCCGGAGUUCGAAGGGACCAUCGGAGUUCAGUCGGGGAACCAAGCUCGCCGGAGUUUUAUGACGGAAUCAACACGUCAACUCUUCGGUUAAUCACUUUUGUUCGUAUCUCUUGGAUUUUCCAUCUUUACUAGUUCGUUAUUACAAGAAAUCGCAACGCAACCAAUGUUGAUUUAUCAAGAUACAAGAAAGCAAGCUAGGAUGGCCUAGAAACUCAUUUUAGAAAUAAACUAUUGUUUGAAUUUAUUUUUGGAUGUUGAUACUUUGUGUUAUCCUUUAGAAUCUAAUAAAAUGAUUUAAAUUAUAUUGUCACAUUUAGUGUUAUGUUGUUUUGAGCAAUUUGUUCGUCUCAUCCCGAUGUUUCCGCCAUUGGUUGGGGUGUGACAAUCAAUGCAUGGAGACUAGAAAUGGAUAGGCUCCCGACAACGGUGGCGCUGAAUCGGAGGAACAUGCAGGUCGAAGAUAAUUACUGCAGGUUCUGCAAUUCUUUCGAAGAAUCGGCUGACCAUAUCUUUAUUGCUUGCCGCACAGCAUCGAUUAUAUGGAAUUUUUUGAGUUCGUGGCGCAAGAUUCCGAGUAUUUAUGCGUUUUCGCGUAAAGAUCUGUUCCUCACUCACAGAAACUUAAGGGCCACGGAGAAGAAAAAGGAUGUUGUUCACGGUUUAAUCAUCAUUGCUUGUUGGUGUCUUUGGCGGGCUAGGAACAACGCGGUUUUUUCUAACAGCCCGGUGAAGAUUGAAGGUAUCAUUGGAGAGAUUAAGGCGCUUGGAUACUUUUGGUAUGUUAAUAGGUCGAAAUACAAAGAGAUGUCUUGGGGGGUUGGUGUGAGUUUGUAAAUAUGUAGUUUUGUAA
This is a long non-coding RNA of Helianthus annuus (common sunflower), 1016 nucleotides long. RefSeq lists it as uncharacterized. The transcript has 3 exons. The record is from RefSeq and is a predicted model, not a curated record. Lineage: Eukaryota; Viridiplantae; Streptophyta; Magnoliopsida; Asterales; Asteraceae.